RNAcentral lists this small RNA (191 nucleotides) under human gut metagenome. RNAcentral's name for it is "Bacteroidales-1 6S-Bacteroidales RNA suggested". It matches the Rfam family "Bacteroidales-1 6S-Bacteroidales RNA suggested". The record is from RNAcentral.
GUUGAUUGGGAAACUCAUCAAUUUUUUAUGAAAUGCCGAGACCAUCUUGCUUUCUGAUGGCGGGCCCCAUUCACCGGCGACGGUGAAGCAGCCAUAUCCCUUCCGAGGGCGCUGCCAGGCGGAUUACAAAGGAAAGCAAGAACUCAAAUCCUGUCUUUCGGAGUUUCAUCGCAUCCUUUGAUGUGGCAUCU